GAGGUCAGCCCUAUAUCCUGCUGGCAAUAUUGCCGGCACCGAGAGAGGUGCCUUGGUAUGGAUCAAAUUCCUUUCAAGCAACCUUGGAAACAACUCUGCAUACCUCAUAGGAAUACGAUCAAUUUGAGUUCUUGGAGCCUGUUGUCGAGGUUGUUGUUGAUACUGUUGUUGAUAUGGUUAAAACUGAGGUUGAUAACCCGAGUUUUGAACAGGAUUUAUGAUAGGCAUAAUAGCGGCAGCAGGGUGAUAAGCCAGAUACUGUAGUUGAGGCUGACUUUCUACCACACUCAUUUCCUGAUCUUCAUACUCAUAAUCAUCAGUGGGAACACUUUCUUUGACCAAUUGUCCUUUUCGGACCCAUUCUUCAAUACGCAUGCCCACAGUCAUCAUAUUUGCGAAGCUGCCGGAUGCACUUGUAAGCAUAUGCUCAUAAUAGAACUGAUCCAGAGUUUCCAGGAAAAUCUCGGUAAAUUCUUUCUCUUCUAGAGGUGGACGGACCUGUGCAGCGACAUCUCUCCA
This 519-nucleotide long non-coding RNA is filed under the name Medicago truncatula (barrel medic). Its description in RNAcentral is "long non-coding RNA (MTRU_LNC006947)". The record is from RNAcentral. Lineage: Eukaryota; Viridiplantae; Streptophyta; Magnoliopsida; Fabales; Fabaceae.